Molecule: small RNA, 1323 nt
Filed under: Histoplasma capsulatum var. duboisii H88
Lineage: Eukaryota; Fungi; Ascomycota; Eurotiomycetes; Onygenales; Ajellomycetaceae
Description: Histoplasma capsulatum H88 hypothetical RNA
Source: RNAcentral
UUGACCACAAGAACACAACCCUCACACCACUUUUCUUUUAAUCCCCCGUCGUUUUGGUUCCCUUUCUACAUAUUCCCUUACACAGACCACUACCGCUGCCAUCCCCACCACCAUUGCGCCAUAGACCAACCGCGAUUCCAAACUAUCGGUAUCUACUUUGUUUCCUUGGGUUACGAACUCAGUUCUUGGUCUUCUGCGAAACUCCCCCCGGCAAUCAUAUUCCUUCCCCAUAUUGCAGGGCGCUCAUUCGCAGCCAUGUCUCUUUGUGUAAAUCGUCUAACUGAGGAACGAAAGCAAUGGCGGAAAAACCACCCCUACGGCUUCUAUGCAAAACCACGUAGAAAUGCAGCGGGCGCGCAGGACAUGAAGUACUGGGAGUGUGGCAUUCCUGGUAAAGAGAAAAAAACAAAAACAAAAACUAACUUAUCGCAGGCAAAUUUGUUCCCCCACUCUUCCACCCAAACGUCUACCCCUCCGGCACCGUCUGCCUAUCCAUCCUCAAUGAAGAGGAAGGCUGGAGACCAGCGAUUACCAUUCCACAGAUCCUUCUCGGUAUCCAAGCCCUUUUAGACGAUCCUAAUCCGGAUUCGCCUGCCCAAGCUGAAGCAUAUACCCUAUUCAAGAAAGACCGUGCUGCUUACGAAAAGAAAGUGAGGCAAGUCGUUAGGGAAAACCCGGCUUUGUAACAUUUGUGAAUGUGGUGGCGAUGCCGCGACAGCAGUCCCCCGGGUGCUCGCCGAAGGCACUUCUCUUGAUUUAUAGCAAGGCGUCUUGGUUGUUAUUUUAUUUUACAUUGGCAAUCUUUCGUGUCAACUUAUUUUGAUUUCUUCGAUAUUUAUUUGUUGUUGUUGUUUUUUAAAUCCCCAACACUGCGUUUCCCUUUUGCAUGGCUUGUUCGAGACUGCACGAUAAAUGGUGUUCGAUGGAUAACAAUGACCUACCCUUACGGAGCUAGAUUUGGAGAGACAGAUAGAAUUAACUGAGAGCUCCAACUCAAUUCGUUUUUACACCAAACAAGGCGUCAUAAACCUGCGCGCACGUUGUAGCUAACCGUUUUUGGGCUUCUAACCCUUCUGUACCAUAAUCUAAGUAGUAACGGCCCAUAGUUGGCGCUUACAAUGAACCAGGUGGAGCUUUGUUUACAAAAUGGAAUAACACCUGUUGGUUCAAGGUUGGGGGUCGGGAUAAUGGUUAUGGGUUAACCCAGCCUAGAUAAACAAGGGUGAAGAUAAGAAGGGAUUGAUACUGUUAGCGGAUCGGUGGAGGACUGAGUAUGGAGUAUGGGAUGCAGACAAACAUACGCCCAUACGGACAAUAACGGAU